RNAcentral lists this long non-coding RNA (907 nucleotides) under Orbicella faveolata. RNAcentral describes it as "uncharacterized LOC110068054". The record is from RNAcentral. Lineage: Eukaryota; Metazoa; Cnidaria; Anthozoa; Scleractinia; Merulinidae.
GAAUAGCUAAGUACCCCUUGGUGAAGGAAGUUCAAAUUACGGAAGACAUUUGAGCGAAGCGUUGUGAUUUUUAGCUUCAAUACAGCAGCAGAUACACCAGUAGCUGAGACGAGAUGAAGGCGGCCAGAGUCUUUCUCCUGAUCACGCUUGCGUUGUUUUGCCUGCAGGUUCCCUUGAUUUGCAACAGUGUCGCACAUCCUCUCCACAAAUCAGAACUCACAGGAUUUGAAGAAGGGAUGCGUUUAGAGGAGUUCAAAGUGCCUGCUGCAACCCGGAAGAAUCAGAAGCUGGAACAGCGUCCUCUGCAAAGUCCACCCUCGCGGGCCGGAGGCCGGUAUAAUAAGGAUCGCCCUGGCCGCAGCUUGAGGCUGUUAAGGAGCUAAGGAACAAACAAAUGCGCAAAUUAGCUGAAAUUGUUCCGUUUACCUAGCAAGGAAUACUGCUUAAAGCUCACAAAUGAAUAGAUGAAGUAGAAAUUGUAACCUUCGAGCAAAUAAUGCAAGUGACAAGUAAAUUAAUUCCUUGUCAGUCACAGCACGGGGGAAUGUUUUGAAUAGAAGUAUGGAGAAGUAAUUCGCUUUAGUCAGCUUUUUGCCUUCGGGCCAAAUCUGUAAUCUCAAUACAGUGACUGAAGUUUUUCCAGCUUAUUUAGAACAAAGAUCUGGGCAACUGCACUGUUUUUUUUUUUUUUAUCAGGCUGCUGAAUCACGUUAUAAUAUUUUUGAGCAAUAAUUUAAAUAGAAGGUAUUUACGCAAUCUUUCGGUACUGGUUCUACUAUACACGUAUAUACUCAAUGAUGUAAUUUAUAUAUUCACCUGACGUGUAACGUAAAGGGACGAUUGUACUUUUCAUACGCCAGUUGAAAUUGUUAACGAUAAAUAAAGGGGAAAAGUUGAAUUACAAAAA